RNAcentral lists this ribosomal RNA (253 nucleotides) under uncultured bacterium. RNAcentral's name for it is "partial 16S ribosomal RNA". It matches the Rfam family "Bacterial small subunit ribosomal RNA", at positions 524 to 776 of the family's 1533-position model. The record is from RNAcentral.
UACGAAGGGGGCUAGCGUUGUUCGGAAUUACUGGGCGUAAAGCGCACGUAGGCGGGUCUGUAAGUAGGGGGUGAAAUCCCAGGGCUCAACCCUGGAACUGCCUUUGAUACUGUCGAUCUGGAGUAUGGAAGAGGUGAGUGGAAUUCCGAGUGUAGAGGUGAAAUUCGUAGAUAUUCGGAGGAACACCAGUGGCGAAGGCGGCUCACUGGUCCAUUACUGACGCUGAGGUGCGAAAGCGUGGGGAGCAAACAGG